Molecule: ribosomal RNA, 537 nt
Filed under: Celoporthe sp. CMW 37246
Lineage: Eukaryota; Fungi; Ascomycota; Sordariomycetes; Diaporthales; Cryphonectriaceae
Description: eukaryotic LSU rRNA
Rfam family: 5.8S ribosomal RNA (bases 209-362)
Source: RNAcentral
CCCCUAUGUGAACUUAUACCUUUUUUUAAUCGUUGCCUCCGCGUCCAGCCCGGGGGGACGGGAUAGAGAAAUAUAUUUCUUUUUCCUUCCCCCUCCCCUGUCACCGUGCAAACGGUUGUUGGGGGAGCAGGCCCGCCGGCGGCCCAUUAAACUCUUUUUGUUUUUAGAACGUAUCUCUUCUGAAUUAAAAAAAAAAAAAAUGAAUCAAAACUUUCAACAACGGAUCUCUUGGUUCUGGCAUCGAUGAAGAACGCAGCGAAAUGCGAUAAGUAAUGUGAAUUGCAGAAUUCAGUGAAUCAUCGAAUCUUUGAACGCACAUUGCGCCCGCUGGAAUUCCAGCGGGCAUGCCUGUUCGAGCGUCAUUUCAACCCUCAAGCCUGGCUUGGUGUUGGGGCACUACCCGUAAAACGGUAAGCCCUGAAAUUUAGUGGCGGGCUCGCUAAGACUCUGAGCGUAGUAGUUUUUCAACCUCGCUUUGGAAGGAUUAGCGGUUGCUCUUGCCGUAAAACCCCCCCCUAUUAUUUGAAAAUUGACCUC